Cyprinus carpio (common carp) is the source of this 252-nucleotide long non-coding RNA. RefSeq lists it as uncharacterized. The record is from RefSeq and is a predicted model, not a curated record. NCBI's taxonomy places the organism in Eukaryota, Metazoa, Chordata, Actinopteri, Cypriniformes, Cyprinidae. The transcript has 5 exons.
GGACGAGACAAACUGGGAAACACACUAUAGGAAACUAACAACACCAGCUACAGAACGGUGCUCACGUGCAACAGUCAAGAACAAAGUAGAGGACACCUUCCCAAAACCAGAAAGCCCCAGCUGACUUUCCAUAACCAUGGCAAAAGUUUACAAGAAGACUAGUGGCAAUGGUUCGUUAUGCCUUUAUUUGGGAAGAAGAGACUUUGUGGACCAUGUGGAACGUAUUGAUCCAGUUGAUGGGGUGCUCAAUAU